RNAcentral lists this ribosomal RNA (484 nucleotides) under Acinetobacter schindleri. RNAcentral describes it as "bacterial SSU rRNA". It matches the Rfam family "Bacterial small subunit ribosomal RNA", at positions 1050 to 1533 of the family's 1533-position model. The record is from RNAcentral. Lineage: Bacteria; Pseudomonadati; Pseudomonadota; Gammaproteobacteria; Moraxellales; Moraxellaceae.
UGUCGUCAGCUCGUGUCGUGAGAUGUUGGGUUAAGUCCCGCAACGAGCGCAACCCUUUUCCUUAUUUGCCAGCGGGUAAUGCCGGGAACUUUAAGGAUACUGCCAGUGACAAACUGGAGGAAGGCGGGGACGACGUCAAGUCAUCAUGGCCCUUACGGCCAGGGCUACACACGUGCUACAAUGGUCGGUACAAAGGGUUGCUACCUCGCGAGAGGAUGCUAAUCUCAAAAAGCCGAUCGUAGUCCGGAUCGCAGUCUGCAACUCGACUGCGUGAAGUCGGAAUCGCUAGUAAUCGCGGAUCAGAAUGCCGCGGUGAAUACGUUCCCGGGCCUUGUACACACCGCCCGUCACACCAUGGGAGUUUGUUGCACCAGAAGUAGGUAGUCUAACCGCAAGGAGGACGCUUACCACGGUGUGGCCGAUGACUGGGGUGAAGUCGUAACAAGGUAGCCGUAGGGGAACCUGCGGCUGGAUCACCUCCUUA